This is a long non-coding RNA of Takifugu rubripes (torafugu), 1879 nucleotides long. The record is from Ensembl. Lineage: Eukaryota; Metazoa; Chordata; Actinopteri; Tetraodontiformes; Tetraodontidae.
CCAGAGAAGAGGCAGAGUCUGAAUUUCUGUGGAAUUGUCUGGUUAUUUUCUGUUCUCUCGGCGGAACAUUCCAGGGAAAUCACACCAGAACAGUUCUCUGGCCCAGUCAGUCAACAAAACUUUAAAGUCGGUGCCGUUUGUGAAACUUUGACCUUCCAAGAGUAGGUCUGGGAUAUAAAUGCUGUAUUUCAGACUGAAGAGGAAACACCUUUCACAUGAGGUAUGAGAUGAUGCUCCGUAAAAAUAAGAGACUUCACAAACGUGCUUCCCAGCAACAGAGAGAUGUCCAGGCUAAAGCCCAGACAAGCCCGGCUCCUCAGGAACAUCCGUCCACCGGCGCCGUCCCCGCUCCCUUUGCCUGUCCAGAAGUUCAGGCCCAGUCCCAAAGUCACCAGGAAUUUCCAGACAGAAUAUACCUGCUGGCAUCAGUCAUUUUCCAGAAUCUCCACCCGGAAAAGCCGGCGAUGCGAAAAUUGGUGAAUUAUGGCAACAAGAGAAGGCUCCCGUUACCUGAAGUGAAGUUCGAAGAGCGACCUUCAUCUUAUGAGCUGGCCUUCAAUACGCUUAAAUAAAAGUUGCUCAGUAAGCUCCGUAACGGUGGCCGAGGACACCGACUUGGCUGUGGGCUCACUGUGACCGUCCACCAAGGAUGAAAUACAGAGUGGAAUAAGAGUCGCUGAUGAAGGUUUGACAUUUCCGGAGGACGGUGAAGUCACACGGACAACAACCAUCUUCCAGGACUUUUAAACUCUCUUUUUAAACUCCUAAACUCUUAAAUUAAGAGUCGGCUGAAUCGUGUCCACCACAGGAGACUGCCUCCUCUUCUCUUCUCUCUUUCUGACCAUUGAUCUUCUCCACAGCGUCUCUGUCUCAGUGUCCACAGUUACCAGACGUCCAUGAGCUGACUGUGGCUGCUGUAUUGUGUGUGUGCGUGUGUGUGAGUGUGUGCACGCGCGCGCCUGAGCGCAGAGGGCUUUGGGAGCCCUUUGUGUUGGGCUGGAUUUAGAGGCUGCCUUUUUGUCCUUGGCUAUGAUCCGAGCAGCCGUCACCAGUUCACUGCAUGUGAAAAUGGGCAGGAGGUCGUUUAAAAUGUACGAUUGCGUCGUUAUUUAGCUCAAGCAGAUUAUCCAACAUAGUUGUGCAACAUUAUGACACCAGGAGCUUCCAUUCAGCUCGUUGUCCUUCACCAAAGAUUUAUCUGCCUGUUCUUCUUACCAUGAAUGAUUAGGAUGUCAGGAAAGAGGCCACAGAGGAGAUACUAAGGAAAAGCGUUGUGAUAACCAGCGCCCCCUACUGGCACGCGAGGGAGUUCUUGCUGGACGCAUAAGACUUAUUUUAAUACAUCUGUCACCAGUGUCACCAUACUUGCUUCUUUAAAACCCUGCUUUUUUACAUGUAUUUGUUCACAUGCUGGAAUAAGAGGAUGAGUUAUCCUGCAUUAGAAUAAUGAACUGAACUCUGUGGGAUCCUUAGCUCUUUAAAAAGAAUUGGUCACGGAUGAAAAAUGAAGGGCUGGCUGAGAAAUGUUUGGUGCCAGGGCAACUCUGCAAUGCUCACACGAACUGUAUAUUUGACACCGUUACGACCUGUUCAUUUGUUGGCCAGAGGAAUGUUCAGGACAGCUGAAUUGCAUGAAUAAAUUCCAAUAGUGUUGUAAAAUAAUGUCUAAAAACCUCUGUGGGAGUAUUCAUGGUUAAGCCUAUAUGCAGCAUAGAGGCUAAUUAUUGUAUUAUGUUUGCAUAUUAGCUCAGGAGCGGGGGCUUCCUUCCUUCUUCCUGCCACUGUUUUUAAUAUUUUCUCUCUUUUUUGUAGAUCUGGUUUCGUCUUUAAACUAGUUGUCCACUCCUCUCACAUAUACAUUACGGUACUAUGCCUUGUU